CGGCGGAUGCCUUGGCUUGCAGAGGCGAUGAAGGACGUGAUAAGCUGCGAUAAGCUACGAGGAGGUGCACAUAACCUUUGAUACGUAGAUUUCCGAAUGGGGCAACCCGGCUGGUUGAAGACCAGUCACCGAAAGGAGCAAACCCGGAGAACUGAAACAUCUAAGUACCCGGAGGAAGAGAAAAUAAUUAAUGAUUCCGAUAGUAGCGGCGAGCGAAAUCGGAACAGCCCAAACCAAUCUUGUUUCGGCAAGAUUGGGGUUGUAGGACCACGAUGUGAGAUGUUCCACGAAUUAGAAUCAACUGGAAAGUUGAACCAUAGAGGGUGAUAGUCCCGUAUAGGUAAGUGCGAAUUAUUUCUAGUGGUAUCCUGAGUAGGGCGGGACAUGUGAAAUCCUGUCUGAAUCUGUCAGAACCAUCUGAUAAGGCUAAAUACUCCUGCAAGACCGAUAGUGAACUAGUACCGUGAGGGAAAGGUGAAAAGAACCCUGAAUAAGGGAGUGAAAUAGAACCUGAAACCAUACGCUUACAAGCGGUCGGAGCGGAUUUAUCCGUGACGGCGUGCCUUUUGCAUAAUGAGCCUACGAGU
This 587-nucleotide ribosomal RNA is filed under the name Ctenophora environmental sample. RNAcentral describes it as "partial Bacterial large subunit ribosomal RNA". It matches the Rfam family "Bacterial large subunit ribosomal RNA", at positions 22 to 628 of the family's 2925-position model. The record is from RNAcentral. Lineage: Eukaryota; Metazoa; Ctenophora.